AUGAACGCUGGCGGCGUGCCUAAUACAUGCAAGUCGCGCGAACAGACGAGGAGCUUACUCCUCUGACGUUAGCGGCGGACGGGUGAGUAACACGUGGAUAACCUACCUAUAAGACUGGGAUAACUUCGGGAAACCGGAGCUAAUACCGGAUAACAUGUUGAACCGCAUGGUUCAACAGUGAAAGACGGUCUUGCUGUCACUUAUAGAUGGAUCCGCGUCGCAUUAGCUAGUUGGUAAGGUAACGGCUUACCAAGGCAACGAUGCGUAGCCGACCUGAGAGGGUGAUCGGCCACACUGGAACUGAGACACGGUCCAGACUCCUACGGGAGGCAGCAGUAGGGAAUCUUCCGCAAUGGGCGAAAGCCUGACGGAGCAACGCCGCGUGAGUGAAGAAGGUCUUCGGAUCGUAAAACUCUGUUAUUAGGGAAGAACAAAUGUGUAAGUAACUAUGCACGUCUUGACGGUACCUAAUCAGAAAGCCACGGCUAACUACGUG
This 496-nucleotide ribosomal RNA is filed under the name uncultured bacterium. RNAcentral describes it as "partial 16S ribosomal RNA". It matches the Rfam family "Bacterial small subunit ribosomal RNA", at positions 29 to 507 of the family's 1533-position model. The record is from RNAcentral.